GGGUCCGUAGCUCAGUUGGGAGAGCGCAGCAUUCGCAUUGCUGAGGCCGUGAGUUCGACUCUCAUCGGAUCCA
RNAcentral lists this transfer RNA (73 nucleotides) under Bacteroidetes/Chlorobi group bacterium ChocPot_Mid. RNAcentral describes it as "tRNA-Ala". It matches the Rfam family "tRNA". From Rfam's summary of the family: Transfer RNA (tRNA) molecules are approximately 80 nucleotides in length. Their secondary structure includes four short double-helical elements and three loops (D, anti-codon, and T loops). Lineage: Bacteria; Pseudomonadati. The record is from RNAcentral.